UCAUCGGGGCGCAGAAGAGUGGGAGUAGGGGUGGAGUGAGACGGGGGCAGCUGUCGUCACAGUCGGUCGGUCGGUCGGGCGCACAAAUUCACGUCCUUACUUACACAGGCAGCUGGCCUGUGGGUUCUGACCAGCUGGCUGACUUAGCGCUGGGCCCUUAAGGCUAAAUUGGCAGGGCCUGAAGAGGGAGACACUGAGGGCCUGUCAGAGAGCACCCACCCAGGAGAAAACGGGCUUCAUCCUGGGGACAGAGCCAGGUUGUUGGGGCUGCGGGUGGGUGCAGAGAAGAACGCCAGGGAAAGGUCCUUGUUCUCUUCCCUCCUGUGGGAAGGAAACUCCAGAGACUCAAAGUACAGUUGGAGAGCAUCACAGAGGGGGCUGGCAGCGGAACCGCACCGGGAGUGUGGCUCUCUGAGGCCUCAGGGACCCGGCUACUGUCAUCCCUGACCUCUGAGACCACAAGCGCCUUUUGGGUUUUAGUUCUGCCUCCCAAACUGGAGACUGUGUUUCCCCCGGCCCCCCGCCCUUCCUCUUGGUUCGCUCCCCAGCCCAGUCUCAGUCCUACUGUCCCACUGCCUCCACGGGUUCAGGAGGCCCUGCCUUUGAAGUCCAACAGUUGACCUUCGGGAAGCCACAGAGAGACCCCAGCCUCCAAUGUCACCAUCUACAGGCAGAGACCAGCAGACAGGCACCAAAGAUAAAACCUCAACCACCUUCACUGGAUGUGCCUGCCCCCCCUGAUGAGAUGUGGAGUGCCUCUCCAGGAAGUCCAAAGCACCUUGACCUGUUUCAGGAAGUAACCACCUCCCUCAAAGGAAUCCAGGCCCUGCUGGAGGCCCUAACAGGGUAAAAGUAAAGUUCGGUCUCCCCUACACCUUGAACCAGAGUGAAGCAUGAUGGAAGAACAGAAGAGGAAGGCAUGGGAGAAAAACUAAGGGGGAACAUCCCUAACGUUGAACAUAAGCAUAACUGAACCUAGCGAUCUGAGAUGAAUAAUGUAGCCACACUGGAAGAAAAAAAAAUAACCAACUGAAAUGACUUUUGGGCGCAGUACAUCGACUAUAAACAUCUUCAAGUCCAAAGACAAGAACUGCAAACACAUACUGAACUGUCCCAUAGUAGGGACCCGAUCACCCAGGAACACACAACACUUCAAUCAUUUUGCCCCUAUCUGAAGAGGAUAUUUACCUUUACCUCCACUCGAUCUCCGGAAAGAAUCUUCUUGUACAGAAGAGGAAAAGACAAAUCCGGGCAGGCUGAAAGAGGCAGCCGAACCCCACAGGAUGAAAACGUGAUAUUUCCGUUCAUUUGAUUUUCGGAGACCAUUCGACGCCCCUCCCCAGCCCACACAUCUACUCUAGAGAAUGGACGCCUUGUCCUGACUGACGCCCUCUGUUCAAAUUUUCCUUUCGUUGUCGCAAGAUUAGGUUACUACGUAAUCCGAAAGGUCAUACUGAGGAUUAAGACAAUUUCAUGUUAAAUUGGUGACAAAACUCUUA
Long non-coding RNA from Panthera uncia (snow leopard), 1499 nucleotides. RefSeq lists it as uncharacterized. The record is from RefSeq and is a predicted model, not a curated record. NCBI's taxonomy places the organism in Eukaryota, Metazoa, Chordata, Mammalia, Carnivora, Felidae. The transcript is spliced from 5 exons.